UACGGAGGGGGCGAGCGUUGUUCGGAAUCAUUGGGCGUAAGGGCGCGUAGGCGGCCUUGUAAGUCAGAUGUGAAAGCCCUUGGCUUAACCAAGGAACUGCAUCUGAAACUGCAGGGCUUGAGUCCGGGAAGGGAGAGUGGAAUUCCCAGUGUAGCGGUGAAAUGCGUAGAUAUUGGGAGGAACACCGGUGGCGAAGGCGGCUCUCUGGACCGGUACUGACGCUGAUGCGCGAAAGCUAGGGGAGCAAACGGG
This 252-nucleotide ribosomal RNA is filed under the name uncultured bacterium. RNAcentral describes it as "partial 16S ribosomal RNA". It matches the Rfam family "Bacterial small subunit ribosomal RNA", at positions 524 to 776 of the family's 1533-position model. The record is from RNAcentral.